RNAcentral lists this small nuclear RNA (142 nucleotides) under Chelonoidis abingdonii (Abingdon island giant tortoise). RNAcentral describes it as "U4 spliceosomal RNA (ENSCABG00000019658.1)". It matches the Rfam family "U4 spliceosomal RNA". From Rfam's summary of the family: U4 small nuclear RNA (U4 snRNA) is a component of the major U2-dependent spliceosome. The structure of U4 snRNA from yeast and human has been reported. The record is from Rfam by way of RNAcentral. Lineage: Eukaryota; Metazoa; Chordata; Testudines; Testudinidae.
AGUGCUGAGAGGUGGCAGUGUCAUAGCUAAUGAGGUUAAUCCGAGGCGUGAUUAUUGCUAGUUGAAAAUCCUCUUGCACUGGGUCCUAUUCCCCCUGGGAGGGGGGAAACUCGUCAGAGCCCUCAUGGUUGGCUUGUGAGGG